UCAAGGAAUAAGAAAGAUGAGCGGAAAAGCUGUCUCCGAAAAACGAUCAUUCAUUUCGGAAGACAGCUUUUUUUUUUUUUUUUUUUGUUGCUAGGCAA
RNAcentral lists this microRNA precursor (98 nucleotides) under Anoxybacteroides amylolyticum. RNAcentral describes it as "Anoxybacillus amylolyticus microRNA mir-556". The record is from RNAcentral. Lineage: Bacteria; Bacillati; Bacillota; Bacilli; Caryophanales; Anoxybacillaceae.